This 302-nucleotide ribosomal RNA is filed under the name uncultured eukaryote. RNAcentral's name for it is "partial large subunit ribosomal RNA". It matches the Rfam family "Eukaryotic large subunit ribosomal RNA", at positions 40 to 350 of the family's 3401-position model. The record is from RNAcentral.
AUAUAACUAAGCGGAGGAAAAGAAACUAACCAGGAUUGACGUAGUAAGGGCGACUGAACUGUCAAAAGCUCACCGUGUGAAUCUGCGUGCAUUAUUGUGCGCCGAAUUGUGGUCUGGAGGUUCUUGCGCUAUGGCACUAGGCAAAGUCCCUUGGAACAGGGCAGCAGAGAGGGUGAGACUCCCGUUUGCCCGGUGCUUGGAGCGAGUUCCAACGAGUCGAGUUGUUUGGGAUUGCAGCUCAAAGUGGGUGGUAAAUUCCAUCUCAAGCUAAAUACUGGUGGGAGACCGAUAGCGCACAAGUA